RNAcentral lists this ribosomal RNA (253 nucleotides) under uncultured bacterium. RNAcentral describes it as "partial 16S ribosomal RNA". It matches the Rfam family "Bacterial small subunit ribosomal RNA", at positions 524 to 776 of the family's 1533-position model. The record is from RNAcentral.
UACGUAGGCGGCAAGCGUUGUCCGGAAUUAUUGGGCGUAAAGAGCUCGUAGGCGGUCUGUUGCGUCCGCUGUGAAAACCCAGGGCUUAACCCUGGGCUGGCAGUGGAUACGGACAGACUAGAGGUAGGUAGGGGAGAGUGGAAUUCCCGGUGUAGCGGUGAAAUGCGCAGAUAUCGGGAGGAACACCGGUGGCGAAGGCGGUUCUCUGGGACGGUACUGACGCUGAGACGCGAAAGCGUGGGGAGCGAACAGG